ACAUAUGUAGUUUAUUGACGAAUUAAGAUAUAAGAAUUGUUUUCAUAUUUGAUCCGGACCUGCAAUUGGACCAGUAAAUUGGUGGCCAUAUAUAAUAUGAAAUGGCUUAUUUUUCAUGUAAUAUUCUAUCAUGAUUGUACCAACUGAUAUGUUUCCACAAAAUUCAGAUUUAAUGAAAACUUAUUAAUUGAAAAUCUGAUAAAAUUGAAAAUCCUGCCAUUAACCUGUGAACCGACACAGGUUGACCCGAUAAAAACUUAGAAAAUUUUGAUAAUAUUUUUUUUAAAAAAUUGAUUAUAAUAAACUAUUUGAUUUGUUAUAUAAAGUAAACACAUUGUCUUUAUGUUAUGCAUUUUAAUUUAUAUUUUUUUUAAUGAUCAAUAUUAUGAAAGUUUUAAUGUAUAUAAUUUAUUUUUUGUUUAGAAGCAUACAGUGAGUUUAUGCAUAUUAAUUAAAUUAAAUUUAUGCUUUUUGAAAUGGACUUUCUUGAUGAGUCAUAAAUGUAAUGAAUGAUAUUAAUGGGUAUGUAUAGUUUUUAAGCCCAAAAACUAAAAGAAAAAAAAAUUAUCAUUCAUAAAAAAAAUUAUUUUCUAUAAAUUUAGAGAUAUCUUUGAGAAAAUUGACAUUUUUAUUAAAGAAUAAAUAGGAAUGUUUCUGGUUUAAUAGUAUAAAUGGAAAUUGUAUUUUAUCUUCCUCUUAAAUUUUGGAGAUAUUAUUAGCAUAAUUUUAGAAAUAUUGAAAAUAUAUUAAAUUUUUAAUUUUUGAAAUUGAUUAUAUUAGGUUUGUUAAAAGUUUAAUUGAGGAAGUUAUGGUAUAUUCGAAUAUUUAGGAUAUAUUUCAGAACUUUCUUUGAUAUAUUCUCUAAGGUAUUAUUUAAGACUUGUUAAAAUAUGGAAGUUGUUCGUGUCAAUAUGCAAAAAUAUUAAUGAUCUUUUUUUUUAACAUUAAAAAUAUUAAUGAUCUUGUAAGGCACCAAAAUCAGUCGCUGUCAAUUUUCAAAUUUCUUGCAAGUUUUGUAAUCUCGUGUCAUCGUAGAUUUGUGAUUGCAAAAUUUUGUGUUAAUCUUAGCUCCAUAAAAGAUGAUUUUCAUAACCGUUGUUACUUACAUAAUUUUUGAUGACGUAUAAAUUAAAGUGCAUAUUCACCAAAACAAUAAAGUAUAUUUCAUUUUCAUUCAAAGGUCUCACAUAAGAUUUGUGUAGAUGAGAAUGAGGCUUACCAAUUACGAAUGACAAAAU
Long non-coding RNA from Brassica rapa (field mustard), 1238 nucleotides. RefSeq lists it as uncharacterized. The record is from RefSeq and is a predicted model, not a curated record. Lineage: Eukaryota; Viridiplantae; Streptophyta; Magnoliopsida; Brassicales; Brassicaceae.